This 465-nucleotide long non-coding RNA is filed under the name Marmota monax (woodchuck). Lineage: Eukaryota; Metazoa; Chordata; Mammalia; Rodentia; Sciuridae. The record is from RNAcentral.
GGAAAACAUCUCAUGGGAAAUUAAAAAUUAUCCUGAAUUAAAUGAAAAUUAAAAUACAAUUCACCAAAAUUUGUGAGAUGCAGGAAUUUAUAGCAUCAAAGGCAUAAUUAGAAACAAAGAGUAAUCCUCAUGACUUGGGAGGCUGAGGCAGGAGGAUCACAAGUUUGAGGCCAGUGUGGGCAACUUAGCAAGACCUUAUCUCAAAAUGAAAAAUAAAAAGGACUGGGGAUGUAGCUCAGUGGUAGAGUGCCCCUGGGUUUAGUUCCCAGUAAUGGAGACAGACAAGAGAGACAGAGACAGAGGAAGCAAGGAUAAGAAGAGCAAAUUAAACCCAAAUUCAUCAGAUGAAAGGAAAUAACAAAAGUUUGGGAAGAAAUUAAUAGAGAAAAUCAAUGAAACCAAAAAUUAGUACUUUGAAAAGAUCAAUAAAAUGGAUAAACCUCUACCGAGACUAACCAUGAAAAC